CCUACGGGGGGCAGCAGUGAGGAAUAUUGGUCAAUGGGCGAAAUCCUGAACCAGCCAAGCCGCGUGAGGGAAGACGGCUCUAUGGGUUGUAAACCUCUUUUGUAGGAGAAUAAAACCCGGGACGUGUCCCGGUCUGCGUGUAUCUUAUGAAUAAGCAUCGGCUAACUCCGUGCCAGCAGCCGCGGUAAUACGGAGGAUUCGAGCGUUAUCCGGAUUUAUUGGGUUUAAAGGGUGCGUAGGCGGUCCGUUAAGGUAGCGGUUAAAUUUCGGGGCUCAACCCCGGCCGUGCCGUUGAAACUGGCAGGCUUGAGUUGGCGUGAGGUACGCGGAAUGCGCGGUGUAGCGGUGAAAUGCAUAGAUAUCGCGCAGAACUCCGAUUGCGAAGGCAGCGUACCAGGGCAAGACUGACGCUGAGGCACGAAAGCGUGGGGAUCGAACAGGAUUAGAUACCCGAGUAGUC
RNAcentral lists this ribosomal RNA (460 nucleotides) under uncultured bacterium. RNAcentral's name for it is "partial 16S ribosomal RNA". It matches the Rfam family "Bacterial small subunit ribosomal RNA", at positions 338 to 795 of the family's 1533-position model. The record is from RNAcentral.